RNAcentral lists this unclassified non-coding RNA (391 nucleotides) under soil metagenome. RNAcentral's name for it is "partial contains 5.8S ribosomal RNA, internal transcribed spacer 2, and large subunit ribosomal RNA". The stretch from base 1 to 122 matches the Rfam family "5.8S ribosomal RNA", at positions 35 to 154 of the family's 154-position model. The record is from RNAcentral.
GAUGAAGAACGUAGCGAAAUGCGAUACUUGGUGUGAAUUGCAGAAUCCCGUGAACCAUCGAGUCUUUGAACGCAAGUUGCACCCGAAGCCAUUAGGCCGAGGGCACGCCUGCCUGGGCGUCACACGUCGUUGCCCCCCCAUCUACUCCUUCGGGAUUGCGGGGGGCGGAUGAUGGCCUCCCGUGCGCCUCGUCGCGCGGUUGGCAUAAAUGCCAAGUCCUCGGCGACGCACGCCACGACAAUCGGUGGUUGCGAAACCUCGGUUGCCCGUCGUGUGCGGUCGUCGCGCAUCGAGGGCUCGAAAAAAUUGCCGAGUUCCGGCUCGGCUUUCAACGCGACCCCAGGUCAGGCGGGGUUACCCGCUGAAUUUAAGCAUAUCAAUAAGCGGAGGA